UACGGGGGGGGUAAGCGUUGUUCGGAAUUACUGGGCGUAAAGGGCUCGUAGGCGGCCAACUAAGUCAGACGUGAAAUCCCCCGGCUUAACCAGGGAACUGCGUCUGAUACUGGAUGGCUUGAGUUUGGGAGAGGGAUGCGGAAUUCCAGGUGUAGCGGUGAAAUGCGUAGAUAUCUGGAGGAACACCGGUGGCGAAGGCGACAUCCUGGACCAACACUGACGCUGAGUGAGCGAAAGCCAGGGGAGCAAACGGG
This 254-nucleotide ribosomal RNA is filed under the name uncultured bacterium. RNAcentral's name for it is "partial 16S ribosomal RNA". It matches the Rfam family "Bacterial small subunit ribosomal RNA", at positions 524 to 776 of the family's 1533-position model. The record is from RNAcentral.